AGCAGCCGCGGUAAUUCCAGCUCCAAUAGCGUAUAUUAAAGUUGUUGCAGUUAAAAAGCUCGUAGUUGAAUUUCGGAAUUCUUUUAUCGGUUGAAUCAACAGGUUCGUACUGAUUUUAAGAAUUUCUACCUUCUGGAGAACCUUAAUGUCAUUAAUUUGAUGUUUUGGGAAACCAGGACUGUUACCUUGAAAAAUUAGAGUGUUAAAGCAGGCUUAUGUCUGAAUAUAUUAGCAUGGAAUAAUGAAAUAGGACGGCAUGGUUCUAUUUUGUUGGUUUCUAGGAUCACCGUAAUGAUUAAUAGGGAUAGUUGGGGGCAUUAGUAUUCAAUUGUCAGAGGUGAAAUUCUUGGAUUUAUUGAAGACUAACUUCUGCGAAAGCAUUUGCCAAGGAUGUUUUCAUUAAUCAAGAACGAAAGUUAGGGGAUCGAAUGACGAUCAGAUACCGUCGUAGUCUUAACCAUAAAACUAUGGCCGACUAGGAAUCGGACGAAAGUUAAUUUUUUUCAAUGACUCGUUCGGC
This 520-nucleotide ribosomal RNA is filed under the name uncultured Pacispora. Its description in RNAcentral is "SSU rRNA". It matches the Rfam family "Eukaryotic small subunit ribosomal RNA", at positions 569 to 1084 of the family's 1831-position model. Lineage: Eukaryota; Fungi; Glomeromycota; Glomeromycetes; Diversisporales; Pacisporaceae. The record is from RNAcentral.